RNAcentral lists this ribosomal RNA (245 nucleotides) under uncultured archaeon. RNAcentral's name for it is "partial 16S ribosomal RNA". It matches the Rfam family "Archaeal small subunit ribosomal RNA", at positions 474 to 721 of the family's 1478-position model. The record is from RNAcentral.
UACCCGCGCCACAAGUGGUGACCACUAUUAUUGGGUUUAAAGCAUCCGUAGCCGGCUCAGCAAGUCUCUGAUUAAAUCUCCUAUUAACUGGGAGGCUGUUAGAGAUACUAUUGAGCUAGGAACCAGGAGAGGUCUGGGGUACUUUUGGGGUAGGGGUGAAAUCCGUUGAUCCUAAAGGGACCACCAAUGGCGAAGGCACCAGACUAGAAUGGCUUCGACGGUGAGGGAUGAAAGCUAGGGGAGCG